UUGUUUACCUCAGCCAAGCCACCGGAAAUCGGCGCCAUCUUGUAAUGGCGUCCGCGCUCCCCACAUCUAACUAUGAGAAAGAGAAUAACUUUGGCCCUGAUAAAGGUAUACAAACCAGGGUAUCAGACUCUUUGGGAGUAGGUAAGACCCCAAGUAAUACACCUGCACCACCAGAAGUUGAGCAGAGGAAGAGGAAAAUCAAAUACAGAUGAUACAUGAGGGAGAUGUUUAAUAUCAGUUAUGGUCUUGAGGUCAACUGCAGCAGGGGUGUGUGCAGUCCUCAUGAAUGAGUUCUUAUGACCAAUCAGAAUUCCAGAGGAGCUGUAUUAGAUGGAGUGGAUUUAACAUGAGAAGCGAGUAGUUCUGAGUAGCGCAAAGUAUAGACUGUAGAAGAUAGUGCUGGUUUCCCACCCAGAUCUCCUUUUCAGGCUCGUACACGUACACCCCAGCUCUCAUAAGUGUUGGGUCCUAAUGUCUCACAGUUGCUCUCUUCUCCAGGGAAAUGUCCUCAGCCCAUAGGAGCCACCUUGCAUGGGAAUAUACACUUUUGGGGGUGGCUUAUAGCCAAGGACUUAACUCUCUGAGUGUACAAAGGUCAUCCCCUCACAUCGAGUCCCUAGGACCUACAACAGCACUUGGCAUACAGAAGAAAUUAGGACACAGGCACACACAGUGAAAAGACCAUGGGUAGGCACAGAGAGAAGACGGUUCUUAUGCACAGAAUUGUACUCCUCCAAAAUUCGUAAUGCUAUAGCCCUACUCCCAGUACUCAGAAUGUGACAGUAUUUGGAGAUACAGCAAUUAAAAGGAUAAUUAAGUUGAAGUGAGACCAUUAGCAUGGGUCCUAAUCCAAUCUGACUGAUGUUCCUACGAGAAGAGGAGGGUAGGACAUACAGAGAAGCACUGGGGCGUGUACACCCUGGGGAAAGGCCAUGUGAGGAUGAAACAAGAAGGCAGCCAUCUGCAAGUCACAGAGAGAUGCCUCAGGACCAACCCACCCUGAAGUCACCUUGAUCUUGGACUUCUAGCCUCCAGAACUGUAAGGAAAUAAAUUUCUG
Lemur catta (Ring-tailed lemur) is the source of this 1058-nucleotide long non-coding RNA. RefSeq lists it as uncharacterized. The record is from RefSeq and is a predicted model, not a curated record. Lineage: Eukaryota; Metazoa; Chordata; Mammalia; Primates; Lemuridae. The transcript is spliced from 3 exons.